This 73-nucleotide transfer RNA is filed under the name Candidatus Magasanikbacteria bacterium RIFCSPHIGHO2_02_FULL_41_13. RNAcentral describes it as "tRNA-Pro". It matches the Rfam family "tRNA". From Rfam's summary of the family: Transfer RNA (tRNA) molecules are approximately 80 nucleotides in length. Lineage: Bacteria; Candidatus Magasanikiibacteriota. The record is from RNAcentral.
CGGGGUGUAGCGCAGUUGGUAGCGCGCAUGCAUGGGGUGCAUGAGGUCGGGAGUUCGAGUCUCCCCACUCCGA